Molecule: long non-coding RNA, 693 nt
Organism: Nerophis lumbriciformis (worm pipefish)
Lineage: Eukaryota; Metazoa; Chordata; Actinopteri; Syngnathiformes; Syngnathidae
Source: RefSeq, a predicted model, not a curated record
ACGUGACAUAGAGACUGUAGCGGGUACACUGAAACAUCAACAUUCAAUUAACAGCUUGAAUUGUAUCGGUAACCAAACACUUUGAAAUUUUAUAAAACCACACUGAAGGCGUGUUGGCGUCAUUAGCGUCGCUACCGUUACGUCCUGAACGAACUGGCUGAGACUGUAGGGGAUUUCAGAUGAUGGCGGACAAGUUGGAGUCUUCACAGAAGGAAGGACAAGCAGUACAAGCUCCUAAAGACUCGCCUGGGGCCAGAUGGGUUUACUCCAGCUGCUUCACAUCUAUCACAACACAGAGGUGUAUGGCUUGUGUGUCUAAGAAAGCCAAGUACAGUCUAAAUUCACAGCUACGGCACAAUUUGGAGAUCAUUUUACUUUAUGCAGGAAAAUAAGAGGAAUCAUGUAGUUUCUAAAUCUGAACUAAUCCAAGGUGGACCCGUGGAUGAUAUUGGUGAAGGUGAAUGUAAAGGCCCAAUCUAAGAUCAAAUAUCACUGACCUCUGAUCUGCAAACUUUUAUUAAGUAUUUCUAAAAGUGGAGAAGCAGUUCUUGCUAAAAGGUCCUCCACUUUGUUUUCACUUCCUGUAGCUUCCCCAGCCUUUUUUCCCCCCACCGGGUGUAGAUUGUGUUGAGACUUUUAUGUUCUCCAUGUGGUCAAAUUUGUCCUAAAUGUGUCAUUCAUUUGAAAAUAAAC